ACCCUCUCUGCUCCAGUGCGAGAAAAGUUCUUCCCUUGCUCAGAUUUAAGUUGCAGACAUCCAUUUUCUCAGGCGCUCAGGCGUGUACUUUUUCUUUGUAGUUUUCAUUUUCGUGCGCCUUGUGAAAUCGGUUUGUCACGUGUUUCGGUCUGGUCAGCUUCCGUCACCCUUCUUCAACAAAGCUGGUUGUUUACACAGCACAUGGCAAGGAAACAAUUGCUUCAACGUAAACAAGCCUUUUUCACCUCCCCUGACCGGCAGUGUUUGACAAGAGAAUGAGCUUCCAAGGCUCAGACCAGAACCAGAAAUAACUGCCUACAAAGACAGGAAACAUUUAGGAAUGAAGAGGCCUCCCAGAUGGAUGACCACAGCUAUAUUUUUAGGAAGUAUGGAAGGGCCCAGCUCUGGAGAAGUGUGCGCCCCUCCAGGGUCAGAACCUGUGUCAUUCAGUGUUUUGUCAUCUAAGGAUCAUUUUUACAAGGCAAUGUGUUGUCACAAUUUGUCACGCGCAUGUAAUCUUAGUUUUCCUCACAGAAACUAAGCCUUCACUGAAUCUUCUGCGGUGUGGUGAAUAAGUCUUUGGCCUUGUCACUGACAGGUUGCAGGUUCAAGUCUCUGCUGGAGCCUCUUGCUGUUGUUCUCCUGAGUGACUUUGCCCCAGGUGCUCCUGUCCACCCAGCUGUAUAAGUGGGGACCAGUAUUGCUGGGGGGGGCAUCCCAAAAAUGGUAAGACAACAGAAAGGAGGAUGAGCUUUAUCCUGAUAAACCACUGUGACUCUUGGGGAAGACAGCUGGCUGAGAGAG
Long non-coding RNA from Lepisosteus oculatus (spotted gar), 804 nucleotides. RefSeq lists it as uncharacterized. NCBI's taxonomy places the organism in Eukaryota, Metazoa, Chordata, Actinopteri, Semionotiformes, Lepisosteidae. The record is from RefSeq and is a predicted model, not a curated record.